Molecule: ribosomal RNA, 596 nt
Filed under: uncultured bacterium
Lineage: Bacteria
Description: bacterial SSU rRNA
Rfam family: Bacterial small subunit ribosomal RNA
Source: RNAcentral
GAUGAACGCUAGCGACAGGCCUAACACAUGCAAGUCGAGGGGCAUCGGGACGUAGCAAUACGUUGCCGGCGACCGGCGGAUGGGUGAGUAACGCGUAUGCAACCUACCCGUAGCAGGGGGAUAGCCCGUUGAAAGACGGAUUAAUACCCCGUAACACAGGGGCUCCGCAUGGAGAUUAUUGUUAAAGGGUCAUUUCUUUUUCAGGGAUGGUCCGGCUGCGGAUGGGCAUGCGUUCCAUUAGGUAGUUGGUGUAGGUAACUGCUCACCAAGCCGACGAUGGAUAGGGGAACUGAGAGGUUGGUCCCCCACACUGGUACUGAGACACGGACCAGACUCCUACGGGAGGCAGCAGUGAGGAAUUUUGGUCAAUGGACGCAAGUCUGAACCAGCCAUGUCGCGUGAAGGAGGACGGCCCUAAGGGUUGUAAACUUCUUUUGCAGUGGAAUAAAGUUUGCCACGUGUUGGCGAUUUGCAAGUACGCUGCGAAUAAGGAUCGGCUAACUCCGUGCCAGCAGCCGCGGUAAUACGGAGGAUCCAGGCGUUAUCCGGAUUUAUUGGGUUUAAAGGGUGCGCAGGCGGGGAAUUAAGGUCGGCGG